CCUACGUGUGGCAGCAGUGGGGAAUAUUGGACAAUGGGGGAAACCCUGAUCCAGCGACGCCGCGUGUGUGAAGAAGGCCUGCGGGUUGUAAAGCACUUUUAGUGGGGACAAAAAGCCACCGGCUAAUACCGGGUGGUCUUGAUUUAACUCACAGAAAAAGCACCGGCUAACUCUGUGCCAGCAGCCGCGGUAAUACAGAGGGUGCGAGCGUUAAUCGGAAUUACCGGGCGUAAAGCGCGCGUAGAGGGUUGAAAUCCCCGGGCUCAACCUGGGAACUGCAUUUGAUACUGCAUUGCUAGAGUACGGUAGAGGGAAGCGGAAUUUCCGGUGUAGCGGUGAAAUGCGUAGAUAUCGGAAGGAACACCAGUGGCGAAAGCGGCUUCCUGGACCAGUACUGACGUUCAUGUGCGAAAGCGUGGGGAGCAAACAGGAUUAGAUACCCCUGUAGUC
This 450-nucleotide ribosomal RNA is filed under the name uncultured bacterium. Its description in RNAcentral is "partial 16S ribosomal RNA". It matches the Rfam family "Bacterial small subunit ribosomal RNA", at positions 338 to 795 of the family's 1533-position model. The record is from RNAcentral.